RNAcentral lists this ribosomal RNA (261 nucleotides) under uncultured archaeon. RNAcentral describes it as "partial 16S ribosomal RNA". It matches the Rfam family "Archaeal small subunit ribosomal RNA", at positions 748 to 1009 of the family's 1478-position model. The record is from RNAcentral.
UAGCCGUAAACGAUACUCGCUAGGUGUCGACCACGGUGCGACCGUUGUCGGUGCCGUAGGGAAGCCGUGAAGCGAGCCACCUGGGAAGUACGGCCGCAAGGCUGAAACUUAAAGGAAUUGGCGGGGGAGCACAACAACGGGUGGAGCUUGCGGUUUAAUUGGAUUCAACGCCGGAAAUCUUACCGGGACCGACAGCAACAUGAAGGCCAAGCUGAAGACUUUGCCGGAUUAGCUGAGAGGAGGUGCAUGGCGUAGACGUCU